RNAcentral lists this transfer RNA (81 nucleotides) under Deltaproteobacteria bacterium. RNAcentral's name for it is "tRNA-Leu". It matches the Rfam family "tRNA". Rfam says of the family: Transfer RNA (tRNA) molecules are approximately 80 nucleotides in length. Their secondary structure includes four short double-helical elements and three loops (D, anti-codon, and T loops). Further hydrogen bonds mediate the characteristic L-shaped molecular structure. tRNAs have two regions of fundamental functional importance: the anti-codon, which is responsible for specific mRNA codon recognition, and the 3' end, to which the tRNAs corresponding amino acid is attached (by aminoacyl-tRNA synthetases). tRNAs cope with the degeneracy of the genetic code in two manners: having more than one tRNA (with a specific anti-codon) for a particular amino acid; and 'wobble' base-pairing, i.e. permitting non-standard base-pairing at the 3rd anti-codon position. The record is from RNAcentral. Lineage: Bacteria; Pseudomonadati; Myxococcota; Myxococcia.
GCCCAGGUGGUGGAAUGGUAGACACGCUAGUUUGAGGGGCUAGUGGAGCAAUCCGUGGAGGUUCAAGUCCUCUCCUGGGCA